UCCAGCGAACUUGGCAGAGAUGCCUUGGUGCCUUCGGGAACGCUGAGACAGGUGCUGCAUGGCUGUCGUCAGCUCGUGUUGUGAAAUGUUGGGUUAAGUCCCGNAACGAGCGCAACCCUUAUCCUUUGUUGCCAGCGAUUCGGUCGGGAACUCAAAGGAGACUGCCGGUGAUAAACCGGAGGAAGGUGGGGAUGACGUCAAGUCAUCAUGGCCCUUACGAGUAGGGCUACACACGUGCUACAAUGGCGCAUACAAAGAGAAGCGACCUCGCGAGAGCAAGCGGACCUCAUAAAGUGCGUCGUAGUCCGGAUCGGAGUCUGCAACUCGACUCCGUGAAGUCGGAAUCGCUAGUAAUCGUGGAUCAGAAUGCCACGGUGAAUACGUUCCCGGGCCUUGUACACACCGCCCGUCACACCAUGGGAGUGGGUUGCAAAAGAAGUAGGUAGCUUAACCCUCGGGAGGGCGCUUACCACUUUGUGAUUCAUGACUGGGGUGAAGUCGUAACAAGGUAAGCGUAGAUGA
Molecule: ribosomal RNA, 522 nt
Filed under: uncultured bacterium
Lineage: Bacteria
Description: bacterial SSU rRNA
Rfam family: Bacterial small subunit ribosomal RNA
Source: RNAcentral